UACAUAACUUGAAUACAGCAUUGGUACAGUUAUAAUAUAUGUAAUUUUACAGGCAAAAAUCAAAAUUUUGCAAGCAUGAUCCGAUCAUAACAUGUAACUUUAUUUACUUCAAUUUGUAGAAUUCAAAUCACUAAUCAAUUAUUCAUAAUUAUAGAAAUUUCAUGCAUGAUUAAAUUUGAAUGCAAUCAUAGUUGUUUGUAUCAUUUCAAAGAGAUAAGAUAAAUUUUUAUUUAAUUUUGAUUGUUUACUAUAAGAUAUAAAUGUUACUUAUCUCGCAGA
This 279-nucleotide long non-coding RNA is filed under the name Elaeis guineensis (African oil palm). Its description in RNAcentral is "long non-coding RNA (EGUI_LNC013211)". Lineage: Eukaryota; Viridiplantae; Streptophyta; Magnoliopsida; Arecales; Arecaceae. The record is from RNAcentral.